GAUUUCUGGUUCGCUCACACAGAUCAACAAGGUGGUGGUGGUCAGUGUAUGGCGCCCCAAGACAAUCUGCCUGUUCCCGGUCUCUGUAGUGUAUUUAGUUCUGGGUAAUGUCGUCAUCUCCCUGCGACUGUGAAACCUCGAGAUAGACUUCAGCUGCCCGAUGAUUGCUGUCGCUUGCCACAAACAGAUUGACCUUGCUUGGUGCCUGAGAGGACGCAUCUUAAAAGUUUCUCAGGGGAAGAUAGACAAAAUUCCACGACACCCCCCAUCUCCUUAAAAUGACAUUUAUAUGAAACUAAAUCGGAGCAGUGAUGACAUUUUAGAUGACAAAUAAUUGCGACUGGAUUUUCAUUUUCUAUUGACAUGAUGAGAAUAUGCCGAUUCUGAACAUAUGAGUAAAAUGUUUAAAUGUCGGGAGCGCGGAAUGAAGAAAUAAAGCACGAUGGGUCAGUGAAUGGUUUGGUUUGAUACAUUCACGUUUGCGACCAAUAAGAUUAGAGACACAAUCUAAAAUUUUGUCACCAUACGGUUGGAAUGACGUGUUGAUGCCGUCAUAAUAAAAUGGCAUUAUUGCAAUAUAAAAAAAAAUUGUAUAACCUGAUUGGGGUAUAUACAAUUCUUUGAACUCCCUGUGCAUCAAUUACGACCGGCAACUUCAUUUACUUUACAGACAGUCAUUUGAUCCAACCCAUUUCAUUUCUGAAUCCAAGCCAGCAACCAUUAAGGAUCGGAUCCACCCAUAACCCUUUGGCAGCACCUGGUGGCCUUUGCCUCUGCAGUGCCACUGUAUUAUACUGUAAACGAGUGACUUGCAACAGCCUCCAACAGUUUUCUGCUGGUGGGAAACACCUUCACUGCUGGGGUCAGAAAGUGGGUCUGAAGCUAGGAGUGAUGAAUUGAUGAAGACUGGAAGAGAGGAUUUGGUAUAGUGCUGAGAGAGAUUGCUAAGGGAGGAAAAUGAGAAACGUGCUGUGUCGAUAACGCUGCUUGAAUUUAAUUGGAAAACCAGGUUGAGGGAGGUAGACGCUCAAGAGAAGCUCAGAGACCCGGGGAAAGUGAACCGGAUGCAGGCAGCCACAUGUAGGCCGUGUAAAAACUACCCCACUGCCUCUCCGGUGCAUAUGUUCGCGCUGGGGGAACAAAGCCGGCAGGAACGAACAAAGACAGAGAUUGAGAAUGACAGUGAGAGAGCGGACGACAGAAAGAGACAGAGGGACGAGAGGGAGAGAGUGAGGCGGAGGGAAAGACUGAAAACAACCAACAGGCAUAACAAGAGAAGACACCACCACAGCAUCCCAAGCAUGCGCGGGGAACAUAAGAUGAUACACUGCAUACGUGGUACUUUCUGACCCUCGCAUCGUGGAGAGAGUGAUGAAUACGCUGCGAGAUCACCUCCUCCGGGGAAUAUAGCUUCCAAGGGAAGAAAAAAAGAACAAGAGAAUGUUCACGAUGAAGAAACAAGCUCUGUUCACGAGGGAGGGAGCAUACGAAGGUGCAUGCAUGGAUUGUGUGGCAAGCAAAACACACGUGCAUGUACAGAAAAGCUGAAACAGGCAGCUGCGGUCUUUUGAUGUGUUUGAUAUGACACCUUCAAAGGCACAGCCACGGGGCGAGCCAGGGAAGCAGCAACAACAAAGGGGGAGAACGCGGAGUGCAGAUGCAGUGAUGGAGACAGAAGGAAGGAAGGAACAAUGGAACGAUGGAGGGUGUGGAGUAGGAGUGAAAGUAGGAGUGAAAAUCCUGGAGAUGGUUGCUUUGUCUUGUGGCCGAUGAUUUGGCACCGAUCUACUGUGCCGCUGUCAAACUGGUGGAGUGUCGACUAGUGCGAGGCUCAUCCCGGGAGAGCAUCCGACAUCGUUUGUCGCUGUAAGUGAAUGUAAGACACUCCUGUCUUGCACUCUGCUGCGGUGCCGUAGAGCACUGGUCACCUCAUUUAGCUGAAUGGGGAGGCUAAACGCCUCUGGUGUCAUGUUAGAGGCUUCCGCUGCUCGGGGGUAUGCUGCUUUUAGUUAUCCCGGGUGUCCCAGAACAGUUUUUGAGGUGACACCAAGCUUGCUGGUGUUAGCAGUUGCUACAUAUCCUGACCUUCCCCUCUUGGAUGGCCGAACCCUCCAGCUGCCCAUCAGGAACAAACAAGAGACUCUGCAGUAUGUCCGAGUACAUAUACUGUACAGCAUGUGGCGCUUAUCGGUUCAGCAGCCUGAUGUUUUCCCUCCUGUGGGUAGUGAGGGGUCUUUUCCCUAACUUCCAAAACGUCUCCAAGGUGAAGACCAAUCCACUCUUUAAUCCCAGCCUCGAUGCUUUUCGGUCCCCCAAAGAUAACUUGUCUGUCCGGCCUCCCCUCUCUGACCCCGGUUCCAGAAACCUUUCGGGAUCUGAGGGGUGGAGCAAAUUGACCCUUUUCGUACCACUGUGGUGCUACUUAGCUCGGUCCCCAAAGCUUUCAGUCUUCUCCAGAACACCUUGCACCUGCCGAAGGCACCGGCAUUCAGACUUCGGACAAUUUUAACUGAUCAGUGCUACUUCGAAAUCCAGCAAAUAGCAGUCUCAAAAUUGGUGCAUGCUUCUGUUUUUGGCUGCCUUCAUGUUCUUCAUUUACUGUGGACUGAUAAACAAUGAAUACUCCAA
Long non-coding RNA from Scophthalmus maximus (turbot), 2628 nucleotides. RefSeq lists it as uncharacterized. Lineage: Eukaryota; Metazoa; Chordata; Actinopteri; Pleuronectiformes; Scophthalmidae. The transcript has 2 exons. The record is from RefSeq and is a predicted model, not a curated record.